Molecule: ribosomal RNA, 1146 nt
Filed under: Triticum aestivum (bread wheat)
Lineage: Eukaryota; Viridiplantae; Streptophyta; Magnoliopsida; Poales; Poaceae
Description: partial small subunit ribosomal RNA
Source: RNAcentral
AUGAAGAGCACAGUGCUGGCACUCUUGCUACUGGUGGCGGUGCAAUGCCUCGCGCUGGGGUCUCGCACGGCGGCGGCGGCCAAGACAAGGCAGGGCGACUACCUGAACCGGCUGCGCGGGUCGCCGUCCUCGCUGGAGGAGGAGCAGACGACGACGAAGGCGACGGGUAGACCCGCGCCGGCGGCCGUUGCGGCGGAGGCCGGGCGCAAGGAGGCCGACCGCGUGGAGGCGCUGCCCGGGCAGCCGAGCGGCGUGGACUUCGCACAGUACGCUGGGUACGUGACGGUGGACGCCGCCGCCGGGCGCGCGCUGUUCUACUACCUCGCCGAGGCCGUCGGCGGCAACGGCGACGGGUCGUCGUCCAAGGGCAAGCCCCUCCUGCUCUGGCUCAACGGGGGCUCCGGGUGCUCGUCGCUGGGGUACGGCGCCAUGGAGGAGCUAGGCCCGUUCCGCGUCAUGAGCGACGGCAAGACGCUCUACCGCAACCCCUACUCCUGGAAGGCUGGAUCCACGGUGCUGUUCCUGGAGAGCCCGGCGGGGGUGGGGUACUCGUACUCGAACACGACGGCGGACUACGGGCGGAGCGGGGACAACCGGACGGCGGAGGACGCGUACCUGUUCCUGGCCAACUGGCUGGAGCGCUUCCCGGAGUACAAGGGCCGCGAGUUCUACAUCACCGGCGAGAGCUACGCCGGCCACUACGUGCCGCAGCUGGCCCACGCCAUCCUCCGCCACGCCUCCCCGGCCAUCAACCUCAAAGGCAUCAUGAUUGGGAACGCGGUGAUCAACGACUGGACGGACAGCAAGGGCAUGUACGACUUCUUCUGGACGCACGCGCUCAUCUCCGACGAGACGGCCGAGGGCAUCAGCAAGAACUGCAACUUCACGGCGGGCGCGGCGUCGAACGCGCUCUGCGACGACGCCUCGGACGCGGCCGGCGAGAGCCUCCGGGACAUCGACAUCUACAACAUCUACGCGCCCAACUGCCAGUCGGAGAAGCUCGUCACGCCGCCCAUCGCCCCCUCGAUCGAGAACUUUGAUCCGUGCACGGACUACUACGUGGAAGCGUACCUCAACUCGCUCCCCCACUUCUUUUUCCUUGAGAAAUGUGCUGGAAUUUUGUCUAUUUGGGGCCAAGCCCAAUAG